RNA transcript from Frieseomelitta varia, 1411 nucleotides. It is a transcript of the gene named 5'-AMP-activated protein kinase subunit beta-2, with no coding region annotated. Lineage: Eukaryota; Metazoa; Arthropoda; Insecta; Hymenoptera; Apidae. The record is from RefSeq and is a predicted model, not a curated record. The transcript is spliced from 6 exons.
AUCGUAAAUAAAAUUCUAUCAUUGAUUAGGAAUAAUACACGAUGUCGGUGUUCCAUAUUAUGUCAUGUUUAUUCAAUACUGAAACUUUGAAUACAUGAAUAAUAUAUCUAUUCAUAUACAAAUAAUGAUUCAAAAUCGAAAGUGCAAAGAGAGCGUUACUUUCGCAUUCCGUUUUCCUAUAUAUUUCAUCAGCUUUGCCGAUAAGAAGAUCUUCAACAAGUGAGUAGGAAUUAUAAUCAUAAUGGGUAAUGCUGGAAGCAAUCAACCAGUUAGUCAUCAUCACAGUAGUAACACAAACAGAGAACGUCAUGUUAAAGAAUAUCCUCCACCAUCGCCAGGGAAAGAAGGUCACGCUUUUGUUUUUGAUAAAAAGCCAAGCCAAAAAUUAGUUUUCCAAUCGUCUCAUGAAGAUGAAGAAUCUUAUUUUGCCAAAACUAACACUCAACAAGAUGGAGAAGAAUUUAGUUCUCAACGUCCACGUUCUAAUACAGUGUCAGAAGGAACCAAGGUAACAGACAGCAAAGUGCUACCAACAGUUUUUAAAUGGGAGGGAGGUGGUAAACAGGUUUAUAUCAGUGGAACUUUUACUGGAUGGAAAACUUUACCAAUGGUUAAGAGUCAUGGUGAUUUUGUAACAAUUAUUGAUUUGCCAGAGGGUGAACAUCAAUAUAAGUUUUUUGUUGAUGGUGAAUGGAGACAUGAUCCAGAUAUAAAAAUUGUUGAUAAUGGUAUGGGUUCCAAGAAUAAUUUGGUAUCUGUCAGAAAAUCUGAUUUUGAGGUCUUCCAAGCUCUUGCAAAAGACAGUGAAAGUGUUACUAGUAGUGCUCAAACAGAAUAUGGACAAGAAAUUCCUCCACAUAAACCCUGGGAGAAAGUGGCUGGACCACCAAUAUUGCCACCUCAUUUGCUUCAAGUUAUUCUUAAUAAAGAUACUCCUUUAUCUUGUGAACCAACACUUUUACCAGAACCAAAUCACGUUAUGUUAAAUCAUUUAUAUGCUUUAAGUAUUAAGGAUAGCGUAAUGGUUCUAUCGGCGACGCAUCGUUAUCGCAAAAAAUAUGUUACGACUUUAUUGUACAAACCAAUUUAAGAUUAUUAAGUUAUUCUCAUAGUUAUUGGCAACUGUUAGUUACAUCGAAUCAAGGCGUAUUUUGUAGCAACCAGGUUGAACAGGGGUUCCUCCAUUUGGGUAAAAAUCUACACUUCCUAAAGGUUUUAAAUAACCUAAGACUCCACCACAUGAAUGAAUAAUAUCAACAAAUAUAGCGUCCGUAGGAUCUAGUCGAGUUUUAUCCGAUGUAAGCAAAUGAAAUCCUGGUAGAGCAGGAUCUAAACCAGUUAUUCUUCCUAAGCGUCCGAAAGUUACUAAACUUCCGGUAUUACCAGCUACAUGCGCUCCAAGAGAAUGCCC